RNAcentral lists this long non-coding RNA (1280 nucleotides) under Glycine max (soybean). RNAcentral's name for it is "long non-coding RNA (GMAX_LNC002299)". Lineage: Eukaryota; Viridiplantae; Streptophyta; Magnoliopsida; Fabales; Fabaceae. The record is from RNAcentral.
AUUUAAUUGUGUCAUCAAUUAUUCAAAAUGAUACCUUGUCAAAUGGCUAAACAUAAUUUGACCAUAUAUACGGUUUCAAUAAUGUUGACACUGGUUAAGCAGAGAUGACCACUAGCCACCUUUUUUUAAUCAAAAAGCUUGUUUUCAUCUGCAUAGUCAAACUGUUUAUAAACUGCUUUGUUAUGUUAUGGUUGUUCUCACUUGAUUAUGAACAGGGAAGGGUAGAGGUAGGAGUAGCUAUCAAUCAGAGGUACAGAGAGGGCGUUUUGGUCCAAGGAGCUUUGGCAGGGUAAGUGGCCAAGAUGGAGAGUAUAACAAACCCAAAGGAAUCGGUUUCUAUGGACGCAAUAUCCGUCAAGAGAGGGGAUAUUCAGGGUAUCAAUGGCCAAGUAAUGGUCAGAACCUUGCCGAAUGAGCAUAGAGUUUUACCAAGAAAAUCAAAUUUUGAGGGCCAUAUAUUAUUUCUAAAUUUAAAUAGUCAGCUUCAAUAGAUGUUAAGAACCAACUAUUGAUGAAGUAAGAAAAAAGAACCCAAUAUUGAUAUUUUUUUGUCUUAAUUUAUGAUAUUCGGGGAAUAUGAUUAUUAUAUAUUGUUUUUUUAAUGUAAGGGGCUCUUUGUUUCAUUUAUUCAGGAAUUUUUAUCAUUAGUGUGCAUUGUAUUUGAAAUGUUUGGCAGUUGAUUAUCUCGCCACUGAAAUCUUGUUAUCUUCAUCAUCACUUCAGAGUUUGAUUACAUGAUAUUGUAAAAAAUAUAUAUUAAUUUCAGGUCUUUUGCAUUGCCUUUCCCACUAUCUUUUUUUUAUUUAUUUAAUUAGACUCGGAGUCAUUUUAAUUGAUGUAAUUAUAAUAGACUUUUACGGACUGUUACAUACUUGGAGGAAAUACAAGUAUUGAUUCUGUAUAGUUUCUUUAUUCACCUGUAGCUACAAGCAUUUAUUGGAACCUUCCCUAGCAACCUGUCUUGAAAAUUUGCGACAGUCAUGGAACUUUCCUGCAGAAGAUCACUUGAACAUGGCUCUGCCUUUAAAUUUCAGCUUUCCCCAUCAUCUUUUUCCCAGAGAAAGCAGGUAUAUGCUGCUAGAACAUUGCUGAAAGCAGAGAAGUUGUAAAUAAUUGCAUCUUAAUUAUUUAUGUAAAUGUUGCUUCUUCUCAAAUGCAAAAUUAAGGACACAGUUAUACUGCAUUGCACACCAGUUAUAGAUGAUUCAGCAAUUCUUUCAAAGUAGUAUUUACUCUAAAUCAAUAAGGACCUAGUUGCCCAUGGAUUUUUCUCUCCUAUA